Molecule: ribosomal RNA, 465 nt
Filed under: uncultured bacterium
Lineage: Bacteria
Description: partial 16S ribosomal RNA
Rfam family: Bacterial small subunit ribosomal RNA
Source: RNAcentral
GACGAACGCUGGCGGCGUGCUUAACACAUGCAAGUCGAACGGAAAGGCCCUGCUUGCAGGGUACUCGAGUGGCGAACGGGUGAGUAACACGUGGGUGAUCUGCCCUGCACUUCGGGAUAAGCCUGGGAAACUGGGUCUAAUACCGGAUAGGAGCCAUUUUUAGUGUGAUGGUUGGAAAGUUUUUUCGGUGUAGGAUGAGCUCGCGGCCUAUCAGCUUGUUGGUGGGGUAAUGGCCUACCAAGGCGGCGACGGGUAGCCGGCCUGAGAGGGUGGACGGCCACAUUGAGACUGAGAGGCGGCCCAGACUCCUACGGGAGGCAGCAGUGGGGAAUAUUGCACAAUGGGCGCAAGCCUGAUGCAGCGACGCCGCGUGGGGGAUGACGGCCUUCGGGUUGUAAACUCCUUUCGCUAGGGACGAAGCUUUUUGUGACGGUACCUAGAUAAGAAGCACCGGCUAACUACGUG